This 344-nucleotide long non-coding RNA is filed under the name Mytilus galloprovincialis (Mediterranean mussel). The record is from RNAcentral. Lineage: Eukaryota; Metazoa; Mollusca; Bivalvia; Mytilida; Mytilidae.
ACUUUAUUUUACGUUUAAAUAUUUUAUGAUGUAUUUAAAUGAGUAGUUAUUGUUGCAAACUCCAUUAGAAAUUUGAAUUGAGAUCAGUUUUGGAAAAAAAAGGGGGGGGGUUAAAUUUUUCUCAUUUCAGAUUUCAUAAAUAAAAAGAAAAUUUCUUCAAACAUUUUUUUGAGAGGAUUAAUAUUCAACAGCAUAGUGAAUUGCUCAAAGGCAAACAAAAUAUUUUAAGUUCAUUUGACCACAUUCAUUCUGUGUCCGAAACCUAUGCUGUGUCAACUAUUUAAUCACAAUCCAAAUUUAGAGCUGAAUCCAGCUUGAAUGUUGUGUCCAUACUUGCCCCAACC